UACGUAGGGUGCAGGCGUUAAUCGGAAUUACUGGGCGUAAAGCGUGCGCAGGCGGUUUCUUAAGUCAGAUGUGAAAGCCCCGGGCUUAACCUGGGAACUGCGUUUGAAACUGGGAGACUUGAGUGUGGCAGAGGGGGUGGAAUUCCGACGUGUAGCGUGAAAUGCGUAGAUAUGUGGAGGAACACCAAUGGCGAAGGCAGCCCCCUGGGUCAACACUGACGCUCAUGCACGAAAGCGUGGGGAGCAAACAGG
RNAcentral lists this ribosomal RNA (252 nucleotides) under uncultured bacterium. RNAcentral describes it as "partial 16S ribosomal RNA". It matches the Rfam family "Bacterial small subunit ribosomal RNA", at positions 524 to 776 of the family's 1533-position model. The record is from RNAcentral.